CAGCCGCCGCGGUAAUACGAGGGGUGCAAGCGUUAUUCGGAUUGAUUGGGUGUAAAGGGUGUGCAGACGGCUUAUUAAGUCACUUGUUAAAUUCUUCGGCCUAACUGAAGGUCUGCAAGUGAUACUGAUGAGCUAGAGGAUGGAAGAGAGAAGUGGAAUUCUCAGAGUAGCGGUAAAAUGCGUAGAGAUGUGGAGGAACACCAGUGGCGAAGGCGACUCUCUGGUCUGUAACUGACGCUGAGGAGCGAAAGCGUGGGGAGCGAACAGGAUUAGAUACCCGAGUAGUCCCUGUCUCUUAUAC
This 301-nucleotide ribosomal RNA is filed under the name uncultured bacterium. Its description in RNAcentral is "partial 16S ribosomal RNA". It matches the Rfam family "Bacterial small subunit ribosomal RNA", at positions 509 to 807 of the family's 1533-position model. The record is from RNAcentral.